Molecule: ribosomal RNA, 1474 nt
Filed under: Clostridia bacterium S110(0)-1
Lineage: Bacteria; Bacillati; Bacillota; Clostridia
Description: partial 16S ribosomal RNA
Rfam family: Bacterial small subunit ribosomal RNA
Source: RNAcentral
AGAGUUUGAUCAUGGCUCAGAUUGAACGCUGGCGGCGUGCCUAACACAUGCAAGUCGAACGCGAAAGUCUCUUCGGAGAUUAGUAGAGUGGCGCACGGGUGAGUAACGCGUGGAUAAUCUACCUAUUGGUACGGGACAACAGUUGGAAACGACUGCUAAUACCGUAUACGCUGGAAACGGGAAAGGGGGCCUCUUCUUGAAAGCUCUCGCCAGUAGAUGAGUCCGCGUUUCAUUAGCUAGACGGUGGGGUAACGGCCUACCGUGGCAACGAUGAAUAGCAGGCCUGAGAGGGUGGCCUGCCACACUGGGACUGGAACACGGCCCAGACUCCUACGGGAGGCAGCAGUGGGGAAUAUUGCGCAAUGGACGAAAGUCUGAUGCAGCAACGCCGCGUGAGCGAUGAAGGCCUUCGGGUCGUAAAGCUCUGUCCUAAGGGAAGAUAAUGACGGUACCUUAGGAGGAAGCCCCGGCUAACUACGUGCCAGCAGCCGCGGUAAUACGUAGGGGGCAAGCGUUAUCCGGAAUCACUGGGCGUAAAGGGUGCGUAGGCGGCUGAUAAAGUCCGAGGUGAAAGGCUACGGCUUAACCGUAGUAAGCCUUGGAAACUUAUCGGCUUGAGUACAGGAGAGGAAAGUGGAAUUCCUAGUGUAGCGGUGAAAUGCGUAGAUAUUAGGAGGAACACCAGUGGCGAAGGCGACUUUCUGGACUGUUACUGACGCUGAGGCACGAAAGCGUGGGGAGCGAACAGGAUUAGAUACCCUGGUAGUCCACGCCGUAAACGAUGAGUGCUAGGUGUCGGGGGUCGAACCUCGGUGCCGCAGCUAACGCAUUAAGCACUCCGCCUGGGGAGUACGUUCGCAAGAAUAAAACUCAAAGGAAUUGACGGGGACCCGCACAAGCAGCGGAGCAUGUGGUUUAAUUCGAAGCAACGCGAAGAACCUUACCAAGGUUUGACAUCCCCUUGACAGAUGCAGAGAUGUGUCCUCCCCUUCGGGGGCAAGGGAGACAGGUGGUGCAUGGUUGUCGUCAGCUCGUGUCGUGAGAUGUUGGGUUAAGUCCCGCAACGAGCGCAACCCUUAUCCUUAGUUGCCAGCAAGUUAAGUUGGGCACUCUAGGGAGACUGCCCGGGUUAACCGGGAGGAAGGUGGGGACGACGUCAAGUCAUCAUGGCCCUUACGCCUGGGGCUACACACGUACUACAAUGGUGCAUACAAAGGGUUGCGAUACCGUGAGGUGGAGCUAAUCCCAUAAAGUGCAUCCCAGUCCGGAUAGGAGUCUGCAACUCGACUCCUUGAAGUCGGAAUCGCUAGUAAUCCCGGAUCAGCAUGCCGGGGUGAAUGCGUUCCCGGGCCUUGUACACACCGCCCGUCACACCACGAAAGUUGGUUCUACCCGAAACCAGUGAGCUAACCAGCAAUGGAGGCAGCUGUCUACGGUGGGGCUGAUGAUUGGGGUGAAGUCGUAACAAGGUAAC